This 770-nucleotide long non-coding RNA is filed under the name Junco hyemalis (dark-eyed junco). RNAcentral describes it as "lncRNA (ENSJHYG00000001698.1)". The record is from RNAcentral. Lineage: Eukaryota; Metazoa; Chordata; Aves; Passeriformes; Passerellidae.
CUAAUACUCCUGAAUUCUGAUCGCCUUCUUUUCAGCAGCAGCAGCAGCAGCAGCAGCAACGCUGAUCCCGGCGGAGAGUCCCGGCCAAAGCAGGGGGGCACACAAGGGGCGGGAUGCGGCGGGGAAAGGCAGGCGAGUGCCCGCGGUGCGUGGGCGCUGCCGGCCGGGCCGCUGGUGCGGGAGGCCCGCGGUGAUGCUGCGCUGGUUCCGCGCUGGUGCUGCGCUGGUUCUCUGCCUCCCGGCUCCGCUCCGCGCUGUGCCGCCCGGCCGCCCUCGCAGGCGCUCUUCAGCGGGCGGGGGGAGGCGGCCGGACCCGCCUCCCUCAAGCCCGGCCCCUCCGCUUGUUGUCGCUGGUACCGGCACAGCCGCGCUCCGCCAGCGCCGGGGAUGCUAAGAGCGGCUCGGGGAGGAAAAGUGGGCGAAAAAAAGCGGGUUUUGGUGGAGCCCUGGACGCACCAAGCAGAGGGAGGGAGUGCUGUGAGCAGUUCCUCUCCACACAGAUCUCCAUGCAGAGGCUUCCCCAGUGGCACGAAUUCCCCUCUGUGGGCCAGAUGUGCUUCUCUCCUCGCAGGAGAUGAGUGUUUCCAUGGCUGAGCCGUCCUGCUGACAGCACUGAGAUUUCUGGAGUCACUGCUCCCUCCCAGGUGUGAAGUGGAUUGCUCUCUGGCCUGGGGCAGAUAAGCAGCCACAGCACUUCAUUGCUGCUUCUCCCAGCAUUGGAAAUCUUUUAAUUAGGAGUGAAAUAAACUGUCCACAUUGUUCCUUUCUUU